Long non-coding RNA from Eriocheir sinensis (Chinese mitten crab), 264 nucleotides. RefSeq lists it as uncharacterized. The record is from RefSeq and is a predicted model, not a curated record. Lineage: Eukaryota; Metazoa; Arthropoda; Malacostraca; Decapoda; Varunidae. The transcript has 2 exons.
UGUAGAGAAUGCUUACACAAGGUCCUGAGGGUGACUCACGUAAGGGGCGACAGAGACCCUGAGGGUGAGCUAAGGAGAAAAGGGAGCAGACGGUGUCAAGAAUUGGUACUAUUCACACGGAUAUCCUUUCUGUCCGAGUUUGUCCGAGUCCGAGAGCCCGAAACACGUUUUGACCGAACAGGAUCAAAAUAAAAGUUCGUGUCGACGUGCGGGUGUCUCAUUCUCCAGGUCAACAUUAUUGAAAUCACCGCAGUUGCGGUAACA